Molecule: ribosomal RNA, 420 nt
Filed under: bacterium
Lineage: Bacteria
Description: partial 16S ribosomal RNA
Rfam family: Bacterial small subunit ribosomal RNA
Source: RNAcentral
UGGGGGAUAUUGCACAAUGGGCGAAAGCCUGAUGCAGCGACGCCGCGUGGGGGAUGAAGGCUUUCGGGUUGUAAACCUCUUUCGCUAUCGAACAAGGCCCGCUUUGGGUGGGUUGAGGGUAGGUGGAGAAGAAGCGCCGGCUAACUACGUGCCAGCAGCCGCGGUAAUCCGUAGGGCGCGAGCGUUGUCCGGAAUGCUUGGGCGUAAAGGCCUUGUAGGCGGCUUGUUGCGCCUGCUGUGAAAACGCGGGGCUUAACUUCGCGCGUGCAGUGGGUACGGGAAGGCUUGAGUGUGGUAGGGGUGACUGGAAUUCCAGGUGUAGCGGUGGAAUGCGCAGAUAUCUGGAGGAACACCGAUGGCGAAGGCAGGUCACUGGGCCAUUACUGACGCUGAGGAGCGAAAGCAUGGGUAGCGAACAGG